CACGGCGGUUGAAGUAUUAGGUGUUGAACGUUUCUAGUGGCGAACGGGUGAGUAACGCGUGGGCAACCUGCCCUCUAGAUGGGGACAACAUCCCGAAAGGGGGUGCUAAUACCGAAUGUGACAGCAAUCUCGCAUGAGGAUGCUGUGAAAGAUGGCCUCUAUUUAUAAGCUAUCGCUAGAGGAUGGGCCUGCGUCUGAUUAGCUAGUUGGUGGGGUAACGGCCUACCAAGGCGAUGAUCAGUAGCCGGUCUGAGAGGAUGAACGGCCACAUUGGGACUGAGACACGGCCCCAGACUCCUACGGGAGGCAGCAGUGGGGAAUCUUCCGCAAUGGGGCGAAAGCCUGACGGAGCAAUGCCGCGUGAGUGAUGAAGGAAUUCGUUCCGUAAAGCUCUUUUGUUUAUGACGAAUGUGCAGAUUGUAAAUAAUGAUCUGUAAUGACGGUAGUAAACGAAUAAGCCACGGCUAACUACGUG
RNAcentral lists this ribosomal RNA (475 nucleotides) under uncultured bacterium. Its description in RNAcentral is "bacterial SSU rRNA". It matches the Rfam family "Bacterial small subunit ribosomal RNA", at positions 58 to 507 of the family's 1533-position model. The record is from RNAcentral.